Molecule: ribosomal RNA, 586 nt
Filed under: uncultured bacterium
Lineage: Bacteria
Description: bacterial SSU rRNA
Rfam family: Bacterial small subunit ribosomal RNA
Source: RNAcentral
CCUACGGGAGGCAGCAGUGGGGAAUUUUGGACAAUGGGCGCAAGCCUGAUCCAGCAAUGCCGCGUGAGUGAAGAAGGCCUUCGGGUUGUAAAGCUCUUUUGUCAGGGAAGAAACGGUGUCUCCUAAUACGGGACGCUAAUGACGGUACCUGAAGAAUAAGCACCGGCUAACUACGUGCCAGCAGCCGCGGUAAUACGUAGGGUGCAAGCGUUAAUCGGAAUUACUGGGCGUAAAGCGUGCGCAGGCGGUUUUGUAAGUCUGUCGUGAAAUCCCCGGGCUCAACCUGGGAAUGGCGAUGGAGACUGCAAGGCUAGAGUUUGGCAGAGGGGGGUAGAAUUCCACGUGUAGCAGUGAAAUGCGUAGAUAUGUGGAGGAACACCGAUGGCGAAGGCAGCCCCCUGGGUCAAGACUGACGCUCAUGCACGAAAGCGUGGGGAGCAAACAGGAUUAGAUACCCUGGUAGUCCACGCCCUAAACGAUGUCUACUAGUUGUCGGGUCUUAAUUGACUUGGUAACGCAGCUAACGCGUGAAGUAGACCGCCUGGGGAGUACGGUCGCAAGNUUAAAACGUCAAAUGAAUUGACGG